GAUGAACGCUAGCUACAGGCUUAACACAUGCAAGUCGAGGGGAAACGAUAUUGGAAGCCUGCUUCCGAUAGGCGUCGACCGGCGCACGGGUGAGUAACGCGUAUCCAACCUGCCCACCACUUGGGGAUAACCUUGCGAAAGUAAGACUAAUACCCAAUGAUAUCUCUAGAAGACAUCUGAAGGAGAUUAAAGAUUUAUCGGUGAUGGAUGGGGAUGCGUCUGAUUAGCUUGGUGGCGGGGUAACGGCCCACCAAGGCGACGAGCAGUAGGGGUUGUGAGAGGAAGGUCCCCCACAUUGGAACGCAGAUACGGGCCAAACGCCUACGGGAGGCAGGAGUGAGGGAUAUUGGUCAAUGGGCGAGAGCCUGAACCAGCCAAGUAGCGUGCAGGAUGACGGCCCUAUGGGUUGUAAACUGCUUUUAUAAGGGAAUAAAGUGAGCCUCGUGAGGCUUUUUGCAUGUACCUUAUGAAUAAGGACCGGCUAAUUCCGUGCCAGCAGCCGCCGUAA
This 508-nucleotide ribosomal RNA is filed under the name uncultured bacterium. RNAcentral describes it as "partial 16S ribosomal RNA". It matches the Rfam family "Bacterial small subunit ribosomal RNA", at positions 28 to 523 of the family's 1533-position model. The record is from RNAcentral.